GAUGAAGAACGUAGCGAAAUGCGAUAAGUAAUGAGAAUUGCAGAAUUCAGUGAAUCAUCGAAUCUUUGAACGCACAUUGCGCCCGCCAGUAUUCUGGCGGGCAUGCCUGUUCGAGCGUCAUUACAACCCUCAGGCCCCCGGGCCUGGCGUUGGGGAUCGGCGGAAGCCCCCUGUGGGCACACGCCGUCCCUCAAAUACAGUGGCGGUCCCGCCGCAGCUUCCAUUGCGUAGUAGCUAACACCUCGCAACUGGAGAGCGGCGCGGCCAUGCCGUAAAACACCCAACUUCUGAAUGUUGACCUCGAAUCAGGUAGGAAUACCCGCUGAACUUAAGCAUAUCAAUAAGCGGAGGA
RNAcentral lists this unclassified non-coding RNA (352 nucleotides) under soil metagenome. RNAcentral describes it as "partial contains 5.8S ribosomal RNA, internal transcribed spacer 2, and large subunit ribosomal RNA". The stretch from base 1 to 120 matches the Rfam family "5.8S ribosomal RNA", at positions 35 to 154 of the family's 154-position model. The record is from RNAcentral.